ACACCCUCCCCUUCUCUCUUUCCCCGUCUCCUUUGUUUCUCAGCUUCUGUCUUCUUUUACUUACACUUACACUCCUACCUCGGCCCUCUUUUUCCUUUCUCUCUCUCCCCUCAUGCAAACACUCUCUUCUCUGUUUAUCCCUCUGUCUCUCCUCUCCCUCCACAUCUUUCCCAGACAGACUCGACAGGUCACUAGUUAAGGUUCCUCAGUCAUCGUUAGAGGGGGCAUUCCCUUGUGUAAGGCCCGCCCCCCAGUGACCAUACAAGGUAACAGUGGAAUGCAUGGUUUGGCUGUCCAUCUGCUUCAUAAGAGAGACACACAGAGAGCAGAGGGUGUACCACACUGAUGAACUAUACUAUCAGUCUGAAUGCAACUUCAGCUCACUGGUAAAAUACUGAAGCUGUGAAAGUAGACCUGCUCCAGACAACGACAUGACAGGCAGUGGACCUCAUCAGUGCAGCAGUUAUACCGCCUGCCAGCUGCAGAUGACAGCUCCCAGCAGCACCUCAGCUGACCUGCAGAGGACUUAAUAAGGAACCAGUCGUGGACCAGCAUCCAUGACUAGGGCCAAAUCUGCAAUGGGUGUUAAACCAAGAGGAAUGUCGGGAGGUGCAGCAGAAACAGACAAGGUGUUGCUGUUGAGAUCAUGGAGAUCAAAGAUGGAGAUCCAACAGUCUGCAACCGUGGUAAGAGAACAGCUUCAAGCUGUACAGAGCGUUGUCUCUUUUGAACUUAUGCUUUUGUAAGUUUCAGAACAAAAGAGUGUUUAAAACAUCUGCACAUUUGACAUAAAUCUUCCAGAAUAACAUUUCAUCUACUGAGCUCACAGGAAGCUAUUACCACCACUGCCUCAACUGUACAGUCCAGAGCUUUAGCCUUACAUUCAUUCUGGGUGAUAAAGUAAAGAAAUAAAGUUCAGCUCCAAAUGAGCUGACAUACCAAUAUCAGCUGUGUCCAUAAGUUCUUUACUCAUUUUUUUUAAAUUUACAAUUCAAAGUAAAUUGGACGUAAAGUAUUUGCCAAUUGUUGGUGUGUAAGUGUCACACCAUGUGUGACAUACACACACACACACACACACACACAGUGACACAUCCAUCCAUCACAGAUCAGUAUCUCCUGUUACUGAACCUGUCUAGUGCUGUAGUGUUUGGUAGUGUAUCGGAGUAUGCCUCAGCUAGGGUUAGGACCAGGAACCUUCCUGAACCCUGCGUCAUACAGAUGAAUCAAAAAGGUCCAAUCUCACACAUAUUUGCUCUGACGUUAUUACACUGAGCCCUUUGGAAUGUUACAUAUACACAUAGCUGGCUUUCAGAGUCUGAAUUUAGGCAAGGAAGUAGGCAAGGUAUUCUAGGUAAUAUUUUGAAACCUUCAUGGUUUAAAGAAAUGUUAAAUGUUAAUUGUUCACUGCACUACAACAUAGGAUGUGGAACACUAGCCUCCUGUGCCAACAUCAUAUGACCUGUAUUGCCAUUUCCCACCUCUACUUCUACACCUUUUACCCUUCCUCACCACAAUAAUCACAUGAACCAUCUCUGGAUGUCAGAGUUACUCAAGCAGGGUAACCAGGAACACAAGAAACAGGACCCAAAUGCACACUCUGAUGCUGAACUGCUGCAAUACAACAGAUUUAAUUAUCAAAUGAAGGAUAUAAAAGCACACUGAAGGCAUACUGUGAACAAAGAGGCAAGCAAGAGUCAAAACCAGGAAAGCAGUCCAACAUAGACAAACAAAUCCAAAGUCCAUGAACAGGCAAAGUCCACAAAAACAUUAAAGAAAAAAGUUUAUUGUGUCUGUAAACUACAGCAUUUAUAUUAGGCUAGUAAAAAAUAUUUAGACUCAUUUCCAACUAUAAAAGAAAGAAAGUAUUAGGCUGCACUGUGGAGACUCAAUUGUUUUAGGGUUUUUUUGCCAAAGAAACAUCAGUUUGUCAGUCAACCAUGUUUUUUGUUCACAGUUUGGAGGUAGGAAGUUUGAAAUUUAAACUGUGGAACUGUGUGUGUGUGUGUGCGUGUGUGUGUGUGCGUGUGUGUGCGUGUGUGUGUGUGUGUGUGUGUGUGUGCGUGUGUGUGCAUACAGUCACAAAUGUCUGCUUCUACAAUGCCUCUAUUUCGUGUUGUGUUUCAGAUAUCAGAGACAGCAUAUAAUUGGCAUGUAAUGGAGAAGUGAGUAUCACACACGCACACACACACACAAUGUGUGUGUGUGGAAUGUAAGAGGGAGCAGCAGCAACAGGAAGUUGGUAUUAUAGCGAUCUACAGGGUUUUAAGUAAUUUCCUGUUUAUACCUCCCCAGCUAGAAUGUUUGUGUGCUCUCUCUCUGUCUCUCUCUCACUCACACACACACACACACACACACACACACGCACGCACGCACGCACGCACGCACGCACGCACGCACGCACGCACGCACACACACACACACACACACACACUGUCAUCAUAUCUGAACAUGGUGUCUAAACCGACUCCAGUCCACUUCCUGGUCCUAUUCCUGUGGCCCAUGGUGCAGUGCUGCAUCUCUGGUCAGUUGGUAGUCUGAGAUGAAGCACUGUAGCUCGGGACAGAGGACAGACAUUCCAGUCUGCUCUGCUCACAUCCAAUCCAGAGCCACUGAGGACUCUAAAGUGUCUGUGAAUGGUUGUCUGUCUCUAUGUGACAGGAUGUACACCGUCUGUCAGGUUCAGCUGGGCUCCAGCCCCCCUGCAACUCUCCUGAAGAUAAAUUUGAAUAGAUAAUGGAUUGAUAGGAAAAUAUCAUUCUUCAUUCAUUUGUACAAAAUAAUAACUUUAGAGUCUUCAUUUAAUAUUUCAGAUGAAUGUAGUUUACCAUAGCACACAUCAGAUUAUAUGCCGAAUUCCACGAUUAAGGUGUUUCAACAGCAGAAGAUGGAAAGCAGAAUAGAGGUGUGACUGUUUCUAUGUCUGAUGUGAUGAAUAACGGAUCAGAUCAGAAGAGGAGGAGCUCACUGACCUCAUUUUUUUUCUUUUCCUCUCUCCUAGGGUCCAGUUUUCCCAGGAAUCCCUUGACCUAUCAGAAAGGGGGAUUCCUGGAAAUACUGUUCUUGGGGGCGGGGUUUAUCAGCAAUUCCAUUAACAGUGUUAUACUAUAAUUAUGUGAGGUGUGUUUAAUCUUGUUCUAAGUUUAUAUUGAAUGAGUUUUGACAGAAUUUAGUGUUUAGUCACGUUUAGACAUGUGGCCUGCUUCUGUGCUACAAUAUGAAAAUUCCAUGUAAAAUGUGUGAUUACUGCUCAUAAAUAAACAUUUAAAGAAAUCAAAAUCUACCCAAAUCAUUUAUCGUCAAAAUGUACAUGAAGUGCCAACAAGUAAAAAUAUUCCAUUCUGCAGUGAAAUGCCUUCGUCUGACAGUCAGUACUAUCAAGAAGGAGGGGUUUUGGUUUUGGGGGCUGAUGAACACUUUUUAUUUUUCACUUUUCAUCACUGAUGUUAGUUAAAGUUAUCUAUAUACAGAGAGAGAACUUGCUGUUGUGCAGCCUUCCUGGUCAUUGUGUUGUUCAUGAAAAGGCAUUUACUUUCCUUUCUUGGAUUUUUGCAAUAAUGACAGUAGUAAUAUGUGUAGUGGACGUCAUGCAGGACCACAGCAGCAGCAGUCACGAUCCACGAGAACCUGCUGGACGACAGAGCACAGAAACUCUGGGGAAGAAGUUUAAAAAUUAAAGAAAUAAAAAAGGCUAAUGUAAAAUACUGCAUUGCUGCAAAUAUAUAUGACACUGUAUGAACUGAGCAGCCUAAUGGGCCUAGCAAUAAUUAAGGAGGUAUGAGGUCAGAAAAACAUGAUCUGUGUAAAUGUGUUCACACAUUAUUGGCUGUAUACUGCAUCAUUACAUAUUACUGACUGUUCUACAUUUUGGUUAUUCGUGUCAGAGAUGAACUGAGAGUCAUGAAAAACACUCUCAGAGUUUGAACAAACACAAAGGCAUCAUGAUAUUUAGAGAAAGAUGGAGAGAGUGAGUCAGCAGAAAUAUCUGAAAUAUCUGAACAGAAAAUACAGUCAUAUUUUCUUAUUUGGAAUCACAAUUGUGUACACUGUAAUUCUAUGUAUUAAUUGUCAUUCACAUCCCAGCUAUGUUACAAAUUUAUUUAUUUUAUUUUAUUUUAUUUGUACAGAGACGUGAUCAUACUAAAGCAAAAAAUAGUGUUAAUACAUCUUAAAUGCCACCAUUGGAUAAUUGUAGAGGUUUGGACGUGACGACAUGAAAUCACAGAGUUAUGACAUGUGACCAAAAGGUGGCCCCAUUGUCAAGCACACAGCUCUUUGUUCAGAGAAACACAGGAAGACACUGGCCUAGCUCCUUAAGAUACUCAUCUUCCAUGAUCACACACAUAGGAUGUCUGUUUAUAAGAUGUUCUCAGAUCUAAACCUGUUGAUAGUGGCUCAUGUUUCCAUAUAUGAGUUCAUUUGUGUUUUCUCCAUCUAUUAGCAAUAGACACAUAGGUAUGAGACACAGAGUCCAGCAGUGUUUCUGUAGGACUCAUGUCUCAUUCCUCUUCUGGUAUAUAUAUGAGGACAGGUGUAGCUGUCACACCUCUCUAUGGACUUGUUUUACUCAUGUAUGUCCGUGGAUUUAAUCUUGAAGAAUGCGCUCUGCUGAAAUUUUCAUCUUCAAAACUUAUCAGAAGAAUUAAUGAAUAUAUUGUUUCUCUUCACCUAAAAGAAACAGACGAAAACACAACCAGGUGAAACACUGAUCUGAAGGCAGUGUGAGUGAGUGAGUGAGUGAGUGAGUGAGUGAGUGAGUGAGUGAGUGAGUUUAACUUAAGAAGAAAUACACCAACAAAAUGACAGAGCCCAUUACACAAAAUGGGCAGAAACAAGAUGAGGCAGGCUGAUGGGAGUUUGGCAGCAUUGCUCCACCCACACACAGGUACAGUCUGUCCUGUCAGAGCAAGCAGAGCAGCACAGAACACGCAGAGGUUCUGCACUAUGAAUAAAAGCCCUGAAAAGUAACAGGCUGAACUCAGAACAGUACUGCAUGUGCAGCAUUAGUGCCAUUCAAGUCAUCGAGACCAACUACUUUCUGCAAAGAAUACAAGAGCUGCUCCACAUCAUCUGAUGAAAGAAACUUUGAUAACAUGUUCUAUGAAUACCACAUCUAUAGUGCAUUAUAUGUUUUUAAAAAAAUAUUUCAUCAAUUUAUCAGUGGAAUAUUGUUGGAUGGUUGAAUGGAUGGAAUCAGUUCAGUCAGUGCAAAGAAAGUUCACAGGAGGCCAAGAUGUCUUAUGCUGGAAGGCUUGAUCAAGAAAAACUGAGGAUUUCUGUCAUGACAUGAUGCCGCCUCAAUGCUGAACAAGCUGUCCUUUCUGAUUCGUCUAUAUGCCCUCAGGACACUGACACUACUACUCUAUGUACAGAAAUGGUUAUUAGUGUACAGACAUUAUCUGACUCUGUAGAUGCUUCUGCAAUAUGUACUUCUCUGGUGCGACUAUGGAGUGAGGCAGCCCUAUCCUCUGACCUUGGUUACCAUAGUAAUGAUCAGAAUGGCGCUCUUUCCUAAACACAAACAUACAGCUGCUCUGUAUCGCAAGGAGAGAAGUCAGUGUCUCCAUAACAAUCUAAGAUUUAACACUGUCACUACAGUGACUUGCUUGACCCUGUGUAACACCAUGUGUGACAUGCUAGAAUAGAAAGUCUCCUCAGAUAUAGUAGAGUGCCAGUUAAAAGUUUGGACAUACCUUCUCAUUCAAUGGUCAGCAUAAGACUGAAAUUUAUCGACUCCCUAUGUCUCGCCCCAACCAGGGUGACCAGCGAGAAACUUAGAGGUUGUGAUUGAUGACUAACUAACCGUCUCUAAUUAUGUUACCUCAGUUGCCUGGUCUUGUCGCUUUAAUGGUCGAGAACACAACGGUGCAGCUGGUUUUCAACCCAAAAGGGGGGUGGCCAAACGUGAAUGUUACCCUGCUGCUCAUUGAGCUCCACUGGCUACCUGUAUCAUUACAUUUAAAUCGCUAAUGCUGAGUACAAAGUAGUCUCUGUUUCUGCACCUACCUAUCCUACCCAUAUGUUACCUCACGACCACUGCACUCCUCCACUGGACGAUGCCUGGCUCUCCCACCUGUUCACUCAAGGCAAUCCAGAUUCUGUCUGUUGUUUCCCGUUGGUGGAACGCACUAAUAUCAGGGGUGUCCCUCAAAGAAGUACUGAGUUGUCACACUACAUCAUGCCCACUUUGGUGGCAUGCCUUUGGUGUGUUUGGGGACCCAGAAGUGUACCAAUGGAAGCAGGGCAUGCUGCUGGUCGGGCUCAGUGGAGUAGAGCUCAGAUGGUAUUCUCAUCAUGGGCCACAAAACACAUGUGGAGGCAGACCAAGACCAUGAUGGUAAAUGGACUGUAUUUAUAUAACUCUUUUCUAGUCCUCUAACCACUCAAAGCUCUUUUACACUACAUAUCUCAUUCACCCAGUCACAUUCAUACACUGAUGGCAUUAGCUGCCAUGCAAGGUGCCAACUGUCAUCAGUUUUAGGAGCUAACCAUUCAUGCAAAUCUUUCAGUAUUUUGACCAAGGAGACUGGACGAGCCGGGGAUCAAACUGCGAACUAGUGGGCAACCCGCUCUACCUGCUCUACGCUAUGAUACCAAGCUUCUGACCAAUAGAUUCAACAAUACCACCUGGAGCAAAUUUCCCCUGUCAUUUGGUGAUGGAAAAACUUCCUUUAAGAGCCACAAAUCUGGACCAGGACCCAGCUCAUGGUGGAUGGACAUCUGCCGUGAUCGGUUGAGUUCAUGGAGGAAGAGAGACACAAAUGCACCUUUAAAACAAAUAACACACCUACACACACUUUUUGAUUGUUUUGUUUUUUCCCCUCUCUUCGACCUCCUUCUUUUGUCUACUGACCAGCUUGUAUUGUAACCUUCUUGCACAAUAAAAAGUGAAAUGUAGUAUUUAUGAGCCAUUAGUUAAAGAAGUGUAGCACAACACAAAAACCCUGUGUCGUCUUCGGCUCCCUCACGUUAUCAUCCAUCUCCAGUUCAACAAUGCUUCCAAGGACAUUUGCAUAACUGGUUCAACAGCUGGGUGACUUUCUCACAUGUGGUCACAUGUUCUGUGUGAGUGUUUUUUGCAUGCAGCUCUUCUUGUCAAUGCACACGUAAAUACCCUAUGUAAAUGUAAGAAAGGUUCAUAGUUGGCACAGAGGAAAGAUUGGUGAGGUAUGGACAGACUGAUUUGAUUUAGCUCUGCAGGUGAAUGAACAAUGACUGUAUGCUCACUUUGCUCUUAUUAAUCACAGCAGCAGUCCACAAAGUCAGACAAAAAGAAACUCUGUGAGUUUUUAAAAGUUAGAAAAAAACACCUCUUUGCUUUCCCAACAGUGUUCUACUCAAACACCCUGAAGCAUUUAGCCUUUACUCUGCUUUCUUCCAAUAGAGCUAUUCUGUAUUCUGCCCAUUCAUUUCAUCCUAACCAAACUUCCAAUCUUCUGAGAUAUUUGUAGCAAUAAACAUUUAACAGAGCAUGAACUCUGUUAACAUUUAUUUUACUGAUGACAAUAAUAAUAAUAUCUAGUACUGUAGGUUAUAUAAUAACAUGCUGAUUUGAACUGAUAACUGGUUGUUCAGUUUCAGCUCCAGCUCUAAUCAACCCUUUAAUUCAAAACCUCCUAAACCAAUGAGCUGCCAGUGCUACUGACUGCACUCUGUCCUGUCUUUUGUGUGGUUGUGAUAUCACAUUGAUUUAGAACAGCUUGUUUAAAUAAUGAUUUAUAAUAAUAAUGAUUAAUGUUUUUCAUGACACCAUUAGGACAGUUAUGGGCAAUUUGUCACUCAAGAUUAAGAUGGCAGAAAAUGAAUCUUAACAUAAUUUCAGAGUCACAGGAGGGACACUGCUACAAAAAACAUGCUUUAAUACAAAAGAUAGCCAGUCAACAAUGAAGUGACAAUACAAACUUUUGACAUUCACUGAGAUUUCAGCUAUGAUUGUAAUGUGAACAGAAACUGUCCUUGUAGUGAACUCAGCAUAGACUCAUGCAGUGCAGUGCAGCUUUUCAAAGCCUCAAAUAAUUCUGGAUGCUUGAAUUGUAUCUGGUAUAAUGAUAGCAAAAGCACAUUGUGAUACAUUUGGAAUUUAAGACAUGUCCUAAUUAACACAAAUUAAACAAUCCAGCUCCAUACAUUUCCAUAUACAGUGCGAAGAAGUUCCAACUUCCAUUCAGUACUUCCAGCACAAAUCAUCCUCCAUCAGCUCCUCUAAAAUCUAUGCAAUGCCUUCUCUGGUAUGUCAACCUCCCCUGUCCUUUAUUUACACAUUAAACAUAUUCUGCCAAGAGCUUCUGUUUCUGUGUAUAUAAACAUAUAACACAUAUCUGAUUUAUGAAUUUUGAGUUACUGAUGAAGAUGAAAUGACUCCUAACUCAGCCCUGUAGUCUGUUAGAUACUUUAUAUUACUAAUUCUACACCAGGUAUGAAGAAUUAUGUGUUCUCACUGACUAAUCCUGAGUUAACACUGAGUGUUGCAGCACUUACUCACGUGUCAGACAAAUGAAUACAUGCAAAUGGAGUGCAGUCUACACAGGUUAAUGCAGUCAACAGAAACUGAGCAUCUCAUCAAAGAAGAUCAUUUACUGAUGUGAAGCUGGUUAGACAACUUUACACACAGAACUGUGUCAAAAAGUGUGUGUGUGUGUGUGCUUGUAGAUUGGAGGUUUCUACAGGUAAAAGCAUGUCCCACAGCAAACACACACACCUGAGGCCAAUCGUCUUUUGAACGUCAGUGAGAAGAUUUGUCAGAAAGGAGCGGCUGAGCAGCACACCCACACACAAAAAUCUGUCCUGCCCCAACUGCAUAGUUAAACCAGCAGAACCUUUCUGGGUGUGGCUGGAUUUUUAGUGACUCACUAUAAUGUCAUGUACACACACACGCACACACUGCACACCUAUAGUCUGUAAAAGAUCCUGCAAACACCGUGAUGUAACAUAAUAGUAAAGACUGUAUGUGCGUUCCACAUGAGAAGGUGUCACAGUGUGACAUGUCAGCUCUCACAUCACUCUCCCUUCACAUAUCCUGCCUUCACCACUGCAGACUAGCUGGCACCUGAAUCAGCACCUUAACACGAGCUAGUUUCAACAUGAGCUACAGCCUGGUUUAACACUAGCUAUGUGUGAGAAGUGACCGUUUGCUCGGAAUCAGCAAUGGCGGCUGCCACUGGCAGUAUUUCUUUAUUGAGAGUAGAGCAAAGAACGACACUGAGGGCAUGUUUUCACUGUUCUGCGGACUGCUUUGACUCCAUCAUAUGAUUUGUGGAUCUGAUUGGUUGAAGUCACCUGUAAUAGACAGAGGUUUCAUCCAAUCACCUGGUCUGUAGUUUUUGAAAGAGUCUACUCUUUUUCAAAUAGUUUCUGACCGACCUUUCAGAUUAGAUAGAAACAGCACAGUGAAAGAAUGUAGCUACAGACUGAACUAAAGGCUAUCAGCUCUCCAGCUCUUUUCUAUGUUUGACUCCAUAAAGAUACAUUCUAUUACAUUUUGCAGUAUUAUGUCUUGUGAUGUCACUAGUUAUUGCUGUAUAAAUGCAACCUUUCAAUUUCACCAAUUCUUUCUAUUCAAUUGAAUUCAGCACAAAAGUAAGAAAUGAAAUGUUCACACUCAUAAACUUUAUUGUUUUUUGUAAAUAUACACUCAUUCUGAAUUUGAUGCAACAAGACAAAAGUUGGGACAGGUUCAACAAAAGACUGAAAGUUGUGGAAUGUCUGAAGCUUCCACAGGUGAACAGUUUCAUUCAGGUAUGAAAAGGGCGUCCUCGAAAGGCUCCGCAGUUCAGAACAAAGAAUGGAGCUAGUGUGAGAGCUGUGCUCCAGUUACUAAAUAAUCAGUUUUUACAUUUAGCUGGAGGGAUUAUAAAUAAUACUCUUAACACUAAAUAAAUGUCUGCAUGUGCUGCAUUUAAAAAUAACAUGCAUAAGUGUUUGUUUUUUUUACUGUGGCAUUUAAGCUUUUCUACUUCCCCCUGUCUAAUUAAGUGUCACCUGCUCUAGGCAAUGAGUCACUGUAAAUACUGGGCGGCACUGUAGAGCCCUAAAUAUGUAGACUUGUUACUAUGACUCGGA
This is a long non-coding RNA of Larimichthys crocea (large yellow croaker), 10056 nucleotides long. RefSeq lists it as uncharacterized. The record is from RefSeq and is a predicted model, not a curated record. The transcript has 4 exons. NCBI's taxonomy places the organism in Eukaryota, Metazoa, Chordata, Actinopteri, Sciaenidae.